GGGAGAGUAGCUCAGUAGGUUAGAGCCUUGGGUCGCUGGUUCGAGUCCAGUCUUUCCCA
This 59-nucleotide transfer RNA is filed under the name Sphingobacterium multivorum. RNAcentral describes it as "tRNA-OTHER". It matches the Rfam family "tRNA". From Rfam's summary of the family: Transfer RNA (tRNA) molecules are approximately 80 nucleotides in length. Their secondary structure includes four short double-helical elements and three loops (D, anti-codon, and T loops). Further hydrogen bonds mediate the characteristic L-shaped molecular structure. tRNAs have two regions of fundamental functional importance: the anti-codon, which is responsible for specific mRNA codon recognition, and the 3' end, to which the tRNAs corresponding amino acid is attached (by aminoacyl-tRNA synthetases). tRNAs cope with the degeneracy of the genetic code in two manners: having more than one tRNA (with a specific anti-codon) for a particular amino acid; and 'wobble' base-pairing, i.e. permitting non-standard base-pairing at the 3rd anti-codon position. Lineage: Bacteria; Pseudomonadati; Bacteroidota; Sphingobacteriia; Sphingobacteriales; Sphingobacteriaceae. The record is from RNAcentral. RNAcentral also lists the same sequence under 1 other name.